Molecule: ribosomal RNA, 467 nt
Filed under: uncultured bacterium
Lineage: Bacteria
Description: partial 16S ribosomal RNA
Rfam family: Bacterial small subunit ribosomal RNA
Source: RNAcentral
ACGAACGCUGGCGGCGUGCUUAACACAUGCAAGUCGCACGGAAAGGCCCUGCUUUUGUGGGGUGCUCGAGUGGCGAACGGGUGAGUAACACGUGAGUAACCUGCCCUUGACUUUGGGAUAACUUCAGGAAACUGGGGCUAAUACCGGAUAGGAGCUCCUGCUGCAUGGUGGGGGUUGGAAAGUUUCGGCGGUUGGGGAUGGACUCGCGGCUUAUCAGCUUGUUGGUGGGGUAGUGGCUUACCAAGGCUUUGACGGGUAGCCGGCCUGAGAGGGUGACCGGCCACAUUGGGACUGAGAUACGGCCCAAACUCCUACGGGAGGCAGCAGUGGGGAAUAUUGCACAAUGGGCGGAAGCCUGAUGCAGCAACGCCGCGUGCGGGAUGACGGCCUUCGGGUUGUAAACCGCUUUCGCCUGUGACGAAGCGUGAGUGACGGUAAUGGGUAAAGAAGCACCGGCUAACUACGUG